CGUAGGGUCCGAGCGUUGUCCGGAAUUAUUGGGCGUAAAGGGCUCGUAGGCGGUUCGUCACGUCGGGAGUGAAAACUCGGAGCUUAACUCCGAGCCUGCUUCCGAUACGGGCAGACUAGAGGUAGGCAGGGGAGAGCGGAACUCCUGGUGUAGCGGUGGAAUGCGCAGAUAUCAGGAAGAACACCGGUGGCGAAGGCGGCUCUCUGGGCCUUACCUGACGCUGAGGGGCGAAAGCGUGGGUAGCGAACAGGAUUAGAUACCCUGGUAGUCCACGCCGUAAACGUUGGGCGCUAGGUGUGGGGGACAUUCCACGUCCUCCGUGCCGCAGCUAACGCAUUAAGCGCCCCGCCUGGGGAGUACGGCCGCAAGGCUA
This 373-nucleotide ribosomal RNA is filed under the name uncultured organism. Its description in RNAcentral is "bacterial SSU rRNA". It matches the Rfam family "Bacterial small subunit ribosomal RNA", at positions 526 to 896 of the family's 1533-position model. The record is from RNAcentral.